Balaenoptera acutorostrata (minke whale) is the source of this 143-nucleotide small nuclear RNA. RefSeq annotates it as U4 spliceosomal RNA. The record is from RefSeq and is a predicted model, not a curated record. Lineage: Eukaryota; Metazoa; Chordata; Mammalia; Artiodactyla; Balaenopteridae. The transcript has a single exon.
AGCUUUGCGCAGUGGCAGUAUCGUAGCCAAUGAGGUUUAUCCGAGGCGCGAUUAUUGCUAAUUGAAAAUUAAUUAUUGAAACAAAAUCCAAAAAAAAAAAAAAGAGUUCUUCUGGGACUUCCAAUCCCUGGAAAUCCUUGGAU